Thalassophryne amazonica is the source of this 100-nucleotide long non-coding RNA. RefSeq lists it as uncharacterized. The transcript is spliced from 3 exons. The record is from RefSeq and is a predicted model, not a curated record. Lineage: Eukaryota; Metazoa; Chordata; Actinopteri; Batrachoidiformes; Batrachoididae.
GGACUGUGUGUUUGGACGUAAUGAUCAGUCCUGGACUCUGAUCUGCUCUGAUGGUUCUUGUUACUCUGUCUGUCACAAUAACAGACAAACAUUCCGUCCU